CCUACGGGCGGCAGCAGUGGGGAAUAUUGGACAAUGGGCGAAAGCCUGAUCCAGCCAUGCCGCGUGUGUGAAGAAGGCCUUCGGGUUGUAAAGCACUUUCAGUGGGGAAGAAAGCCUUGGGGCUAAUACCCUCGAGGAAGGACAUCACCCACAGAAGAAGCACCGGCUAACUCCGUGCCAGCAGCCGCGGUAAUAUGGAGGGUGCGGGCGUUAAUCGGAAUUACUGGGCGUAAAGCGCGCGUAGGCGGUCUGAUAAGCCGGUUGUGAAAGCCCCGGGCUCAACCUGGGAACGGCAUCCGGAACUGUCAGGCUAGAGUGCAGGAGAGGAAGGUAGAAUUCCCGGUGUAGCGGUGAAAUGCGUAGAGAUCGGGAGGAAUACCAGUGGCGAAGGCGGCCUUCUGGACUGACACUGACGCUGAGGUGCGAAAGCGUGGGUAGCAAACAGGAUUAGAUACCCCAGUAGUC
Molecule: ribosomal RNA, 465 nt
Filed under: Vreelandella stevensii
Lineage: Bacteria; Pseudomonadati; Pseudomonadota; Gammaproteobacteria; Oceanospirillales; Halomonadaceae
Description: partial 16S ribosomal RNA
Rfam family: Bacterial small subunit ribosomal RNA
Source: RNAcentral